This is a microRNA precursor of Otolemur garnettii (small-eared galago), 84 nucleotides long. Ensembl annotates it as microRNA 489. Its record names the gene MIR489. The record is from Ensembl. Lineage: Eukaryota; Metazoa; Chordata; Mammalia; Primates; Galagidae.
GUGGCAGCUUGGUAGCCGUAUGUGUGGCGCCAUUUACUUGAAUCUUUAGAAGUGACAUCACAUGUACGGCAGCUAAUCUGCUAC